UGAUACUACUGCGCCCAGUGGGUCGAUUUUUGACCGUUCGCAAAUAAAAACGACGUUCGUUUUUUUUUAUAAAAUUGACGCUGUCCUAAUUUUGACUAUUCGUUUUUUUAAGUCGUUCGUUUAUUUGCGUACGUAAAUUUGCGGAUGGUAGAUGCAUAUACUUAAAUUAUAAAGCGUACAAUUUAUAGAGUCAAUUACGAGUGUUGUCAAUUUACAAAAUAUUAAUAAUACUUAAUUGAUUGCGAGUAUGGAAGAGUUUAUUAACUAUAUGGCAAUAAGAAAUUUAGAAGAAGCAGAAGAAAUGUAUAGGCCUAAUCGCCAGCGUUUCCCGCGGAAUCCUAUGUUGGAAUUAAGCGAAACACAAUUUAUCAAAAUGUUUCGGCUAUCAAAUGAAUUAUUUAAUUACGUAGUAGAUCGCUUAGAGCCCUAUAUUCGUCUGCAACGAAGAAAUUCAGAUUUAAGUACCGAAACAAAGGUCUCUGACUACCUUGCUGCAUUAUAAAACUAAAAUCAUAAUUAUUCAGGUUUUAAUUGCCCUAAAUUUUUUUGCUACCGGUUCAUAUCAAACAAAUGUUGGUGUUAACAAAUACAUUGAUGUUUGCCAAUCAAGCGUAAGUGUUUGUAUCAAAGAGGUUGUUAAUGCUGUAACACAGCAAGAUAUUUAUAACGAAUGGGUACAUUUUUCUGAUACUUUCGAAGCUUUAAGAAAAACAAGGCAAGGGUAAGUACUCAACAAUUUUGUUUUAAGUAUGGACCUACCUUUGUAAAGAUAAGUAGGUAUUUCAUAGCUGUAUGGGGCACAAGUAUAUUAGUUUCUAUUUUUCUACAGUGUCUUUUUAGCUUUUUUGAGAAGCACGGAUUUCCGGGGGUUGUAGGGUGUAUUGAUUGUACCCAUGUAGCGAAUGAUAAUAAUCAAGAACAUCUAUAUAUAAAUAGAAAAUUCUAUCAUUCCAUAAAUGUGCAACUUAUUUGUGACUCUGAUUUAAAAAUAUUAAAUGUAAAUGCCCGAUUUCCUGAUGCGUACAUAUGGAAUCAAUCUGCUGUCCAAGAUGUUAUGCGCGUCAUGCAUACCGCAGGAGAAAAUGACUGUUUUCUUUUAGGAGAUUCCGGAUAUCCUUUACGGACUUGGCUUUUGACUCCAUUUGCCCAAGUUGUUGAUCAAUCUCCAGAAGCUCACUACAACACAAUACACAAAAACACCAGAGUUAAAAUAGAAUGUUGUAAUGGAGUACUACCGAUUUCGCUGUCUUCUCAAACAUCGAGUCCUUCAUUAUACCCCUGACGUAGCAUGUAAAAUAAUUACUGCUUGUGUUAUCUUACACAAUAUGUGCAUAUACUAUAAUAUUCCUGAACCUGAUGAAGAAAACGAGGAAAUAGUUGAUAUGGGUUUAAUAGAUGCACAAAAUAUAGACGAAAAUGACGGUGCUAACGGAGAGCGCAGAGUUAAUCCCGAAUUGGCGGACGGGAGAUUGGCAAGAAGUAGAAUAGUUCGACAGUUGUAUUUGGCAAGACGGCGUUAGGUACCUACUAGUAAAAACUAUUUUGUUAUAAAAAAUCAAUAAAUAAAUCAUACUAUUAA
Long non-coding RNA from Tribolium castaneum (red flour beetle), 1579 nucleotides. RefSeq lists it as uncharacterized. NCBI's taxonomy places the organism in Eukaryota, Metazoa, Arthropoda, Insecta, Coleoptera, Tenebrionidae. The transcript is spliced from 3 exons. The record is from RefSeq and is a predicted model, not a curated record.